GUAAGGAAUAUUGGUCAAUGGACGCAAGUCUGAACCAGCCAUGCCGCGUGAAGGAUGAAGGUCCUCUGGAUUGUAAACUUCUUUUAUCUGGGACGAAACCUCUUUUUCUAAAGAGACUGACGGUACCAGAGGAAUAAGCACCGGCUAACUCCGUGCCAGCAGCCGCGGUAAUACGGAGGGUGCAAGCGUUAUCCGGAUUCACUGGGUUUAAAGGGAGCGUAGGAGGGCAGGUAAGUCAGUGGUGAAAUCUUCGAGCUUAACUCGGAAACUGCCGUUGAUACUAUCUGUCUUGAAUACCGUGGAGAUGAGCGGAAUAUGUCAUGUAGCGGUGAAAUGCUUAGAUAUGACAUAGAACACCAAUUGCGAAGGCAGCUCGUUACACGAAUAUUGACUCUGAGGCUCGAAAGCGUGGGGAUCAAACAGGAUUAGAUACCCUGGUAGUCCACGCCCUAAACGAUGGAUACUCGACAUACGCGAUACACUGUGUGUGUCUGAGCGAAAGCAUUAAGUAUCCCACCUGGGAAGUACGACCGCAAGGU
This 539-nucleotide ribosomal RNA is filed under the name uncultured bacterium. RNAcentral's name for it is "bacterial SSU rRNA". It matches the Rfam family "Bacterial small subunit ribosomal RNA", at positions 354 to 894 of the family's 1533-position model. The record is from RNAcentral.